GAUGAACGCUGGCGGUCUGCUUAACACAUGCAAGUCGAACGAACUCUUCGGAGUGAGUGGCGGACGGGUGAGUAACGCGUGAGAAUCUGCCUGUGGGUCGGGGACAAACCACUGGAAACGGUGGCUAAUACCGGAUGAGCCGAAAAGGUAAAAAGAUUUAUUGCCCACAGAUGAGCUCGCGUCUGAUUAGCUAGUUGGUAAGGUAAAAAGCGUACCAAGGCGACGAUCAGUUAGCUGGUCUGAGAGGAUGAGCAGCCACACUGGGACUGAGACACGGCCCCAGACUCCUACGGGAGGCAGCAGUGGGGAAUUUUCCGCAAUGGGCGAAAGCCUGACGGAGCAAGACCGCGUGGGGGAGAAGGUUUUUGAUCGUAAACCCCUUGUC
Molecule: ribosomal RNA, 385 nt
Filed under: uncultured bacterium
Lineage: Bacteria
Description: bacterial SSU rRNA
Rfam family: Bacterial small subunit ribosomal RNA
Source: RNAcentral